UACGAAGGGGGCGAACGUUGUGCGGAAUCACUGGGCGUAAAGCGCACGCAGGCGGAUUGACAAGUCGGGGGUGAAAGCCCGGGGCUCAACCGUGGAAUUGCCUUCGAUACUGUCGGUCUCGAGGCCGGGAGAGGUGAGUGGAAUUCCUAGUGUAGAGGUGAAAUUCGUAGAUAUCAGGAAGAACACCAGUGGCGAAGGCGGCCCACUGGCCCGGUACUGACGCUCAGGUGCGAAAGCGUGGGGAGCAAACAGG
RNAcentral lists this ribosomal RNA (253 nucleotides) under uncultured bacterium. RNAcentral describes it as "partial 16S ribosomal RNA". It matches the Rfam family "Bacterial small subunit ribosomal RNA", at positions 524 to 776 of the family's 1533-position model. The record is from RNAcentral.